UAUGAAGAAGAAUGUCAGGUUCAUUUCUGAAACUGAACAGAUUGAAAAGUUUUUUUUUUUUUAAAGCUUGGCUUCCUACAAGAGUUAUGCGUUACCAACACAUUAUCUGUGAGAAUCUCUCAACCCACAGAAAAAAAUUAAAAGUGGGAAAGAUUAGAAAAAGGUGUUUUGAGACAAAAAUCUCAACAAGUUUAGGUCUUACAACUUUCAUGAAAACAGCAAAUGAGACUAGUGACUAAGUCUCUGAUAGAGAAGCACUAAUUUUUUUUUCUUGAGGAACCACUAUAUUCUUCCUCCUCUACAGACCUGUUCUUAUCAGGUGUGUAACUUUCCUUUCCACUUCUACUACUAACUGGUUGGAAGAUAUGUUCCCCUGAGAAAGAUCUCUCUGGAACAAUGAGCUACUGAAAUAGCCCAGUCAUAGGGGGAAACAUUCUUCAAAAAACAGUAUGUAAGAUGCUUUGUUUAUUUGCACAAAUGUUUUGCAUAACUCCAUGUGUGACAUAUUACAUUGGUUAUACUAUUUACACUGGAGUCUAAAAUUGAGAGAAAUACAUUCACCACAAAUGAGGAGAGUCUGCCCUGGCAUCCUCGUUGAAAGAAAUCGUCUUUCUUUCCCUACUACUGCAACUGAGUGAAGUUAGUAACUUCAUAUAGCCCUACCAGCAUUUCUUUCUGCAAUAUUUGGCUUCUCCUUCUAGAUCAGCACAGCUGAGGAAAGUACAACACCAAAUUUGAUAAAGGACUCAGUACAUGUUCCAAAUUCAUCUCAUAUGCAUGCUAAACAAAUAUCUACUGGUUUGGAGCAACUUUUAGUCCUUGCUGAAGCAAAUGGGAUUCAAAGCAGCGACCUGAAUGUAAAAGGCCUUAUAAUGCUGUAACAAAGUCUUGUAGAAUCCCAUAUCCUCAACAAAUACAGCAAUACAUACAACCUGGUCUAGUGGAAAGCGUCCCUGCCCACAGCAGGUAGGUUGGAGUUAGAUGACCUUUAAGGUCCCUUCCAACCCAAACCAUUCUAUAAUUCCAUGAAAAAAAAAGUAAAAUUUAAGUUGCUCAUACAGUCCCAGAUCAGUCCCUUGUAAGCACACCCUACAAUACACAAUGUCCUCCCACAACAACACCAGCCCCGUGUAGCUAGAUCUAAACGUAGCUUAUAGCUCUUAGUGGCAAGGGGAUCAUCAGACCUACAUAGCAAACCUAUUCUGCUUGUUAGAAUCAUUGAAAAACUGAGACCAGCAUUACUUUAUUUUUCUUUCCUGUGAUUAAGCCCAUUGAGUAUAAUAUGGAAAUAUUUUGUCAGCAUAUUACACUUUUUUGGUGGUAGAGUGCUGGAAUGCUUGUCCUCAGGACUCACUUCAGGAAGUGACUCAGGAAGUCACUUCUGCUCCAGGCUGUGUGAGCAGUGUCUGGUCUCUAGCUGAGGAAAGGGGAGUAGAAGUAACUCAACCAAGUAGUUUGCUUUUCAGAAUGAGUAUACCAAUGUGGCUGGGUAAAGCUUGCAUAUAUGAUGGUAUACAUUUGGAGUAGAACCAUGGCUAGGGUUGGGCUGAGGCUGUACAGUCGUUUGGUUAGUUAUGUGCAAAAACAGUCCAGCUAUAGUUGCCUUCCCCAGGAAGAAAGUGGAAGUCGUUCAGAAUUAGUGGUACUUUGAAGCUAUGAAGAGGCUCAGGUAGGACUCCUUUGCAUGAGCUACCACCAGAGAUCUUCAGAUGCACUAACAGGUGCUGAACAGCUACUUUUCUCAGCAGAAAGAGCAUGAUGUUCAGCUGAAAGAGUGUUCCUCCAAGAUGAUAGACUCUGCUACACCCCAGCUGGAUGGUGAGGAAUUCAACCCUAUGUUUGUAAAGCAAAGCCACUUAGACAAAGCAGAUAGCAGCCCAAGGAGAGCAGCAAGGAAACGACACCUACUUCAGACUUCAAGUUACAGCACCCAAGCUGAAGAAGUUCCUGCAACUUGUAAGGAUCUGGGGCUGGUAUUUUCCUUUGGGAUGAGGGGUGGAAAAAGAUGCCAACAAUGCAUUGGCUAACUCCAAAUGUACUUAUUUUUUUGGAGUAAAUAAAAUUAUUUUGCAAACAUC
Molecule: long non-coding RNA, 2078 nt
Organism: Cygnus olor (mute swan)
Lineage: Eukaryota; Metazoa; Chordata; Aves; Anseriformes; Anatidae
Exons: 3
Source: RefSeq, a predicted model, not a curated record